GCUGUUUCGCUGACGAGUGGCGGACGGGUGAGUAAUGUCUGGGAAACUGCCUGAUGGAGGGGGAUAACUACUGGAAACGGUAGCUAAUACCGCAUAACGUCGCAAGACCAAAGAGGGGGACCUUCGGGCCUCUUGCCAUCAGAUGUGCCCAGAUGGGAUUAGCUAGUAGGUGGGGUAACGGCUCACCUAGGCGACGAUCCCUAGCUGGUCUGAGAGGAUGACCAGCCACACUGGAACUGAGACACGGUCCAGACUCCUACGGGAGGCAGCAGUGGGGAAUAUUGCACAAUGGGCGCAAGCCUGAUGCAGCCAUGCCGCGUGUAUGAAGAAGGCCUUCGGGUUGUAAAGUACUUUCAGCGGGGAGGAAGGGAGUAAAGUUAAUACCUUUGCUCAUUGACGUUACCCGCAGAAGAAGCACCGGCUAACUCCGUGCCAGCAGCCGCGGUAAUACGGAGGGUGCAAGCGUUAAUCGGAAUUACUGGGCGUAAAGCGCACGCAGGCGGUUUGUUAAGUCAGAUGUGAAAUCCCCGGGCUCAACCUGGGAACUGCAUCUGAUACUGGCAAGCUUGAGUCUCGUAGAGGGGGGUAGAAUUCCAGGUGUAGC
Molecule: ribosomal RNA, 604 nt
Filed under: uncultured Pseudomonadota bacterium
Lineage: Bacteria; Pseudomonadati; Pseudomonadota
Description: bacterial SSU rRNA
Rfam family: Bacterial small subunit ribosomal RNA
Source: RNAcentral